CAGAUUCCCAAAUAUGGAGAAGGACUGGGCUUUGGAUGAGGAGCAGCACAGACACCCUUAAGAGAGGGGGGAGGAUGAGGGCUCUCACCACUUGCCCUCCAGACUCACAGAAGAGCAGCUUUUUUGGGCCUGUGCCCAUCUCCUGAAGCAGAUAAUGAACUCAGCUUCCUCAUCAAAACCUGCCUGUGUUGUUCGGAGGCCCUGCUACUCCUGCCUUCUCAGGCCUAGAAAGUAUCCAGAGUCUGUGAACACUGGUGUCUGAGAUCCAGUAGCAUUCUUGAAAAGAUAGAGUCUCACUAUGUAGCCCUGGUUAGCUGGCCUGGAACUUGCAAUCAGAAAUGAAAAUUCUGAAAAAAAAAAAAAGAAAGAAAGAAAAGAAA
This 380-nucleotide long non-coding RNA is filed under the name Cricetulus griseus (Chinese hamster). Its description in RNAcentral is "lncRNA (ENSCGRG00015036733.1)". Lineage: Eukaryota; Metazoa; Chordata; Mammalia; Rodentia; Cricetidae. The record is from RNAcentral.